Molecule: long non-coding RNA, 456 nt
Filed under: Gossypium barbadense (sea-island cotton)
Lineage: Eukaryota; Viridiplantae; Streptophyta; Magnoliopsida; Malvales; Malvaceae
Description: long non-coding RNA (GBAR_LNC010031)
Source: RNAcentral
AUAAACAACGAUCCGCCCUUCCUAUUUUUCUUCAGUCUCUUUCUUACAUACCUGUGUUUCACCACUCGGAUUAUCUCUUCGGCAACGUCUUCCUGGUGGUGGAAGUGGUGAACACUGACUGCUAAGUAACAAGUUAGCAAAAUGGGACCUGGUGGACCGGGAGGAGGGCCGGGAGGACCAGGUGGACCGGGAGGAUGGGGAGGAGGACCUGGUGGUUGGGGUCCUGGCCCUGGAGGACCUGGCGGAUUUGGGCCCGGAGGUCCUGGUUGGGGUCCGGGACCUGGAGGUCCCUGGGGCCCUGGAUUUGGAGGUCCUGGUUUUUGGCCUGGUGGGUUCUUUGGCGGCUUUGCAGAUGGUUUGUGCAAUAUGAUAUCUUCCUGGUAAGCAAUCAAAUCUUUACUCAAUUCCGGUAUAGUUAAAUGCGGUUUGAUUGAGGUUAAAUUUGAUUGGGAUUGC